UACGUAGGGGGCAAGCGUUGUCCGGAGUUACUGGGCGUAAAGCGCACGCAGGCGGUCGAUUAAGUUUGGAGUGACAGUUGGUGGCUUAACUGCCAAAGUGCUUUGAAAACUGAUCGACUUGAGGGCUUCAGAGUGACACGGAAUUCCGGGUGGAGUGGUGAAAUGCGUAGAGAUCCGGAGGAACACCGAAGGCGAAGGCAGUGUCCUGGGGAGUACCUGACGCUCAGGUGCGAAAGCCAGGGGAGCGAACGGG
This 253-nucleotide ribosomal RNA is filed under the name uncultured bacterium. RNAcentral describes it as "partial 16S ribosomal RNA". It matches the Rfam family "Bacterial small subunit ribosomal RNA", at positions 524 to 776 of the family's 1533-position model. The record is from RNAcentral.